UGGCCUGUAGUUCAAUUGGCGGAACGUCUGAUUCUGAUUCAGAAGGUUGAAGGUUCAAGUCCUUCCAGGCCAG
Molecule: transfer RNA, 73 nt
Filed under: Phycisphaerales bacterium
Lineage: Bacteria; Pseudomonadati; Planctomycetota; Phycisphaerae; Phycisphaerales
Description: tRNA-Gln
Rfam family: tRNA
About the family: Transfer RNA (tRNA) molecules are approximately 80 nucleotides in length.
Source: RNAcentral